Mytilus trossulus (common blue mussel) is the source of this 361-nucleotide long non-coding RNA. RefSeq lists it as uncharacterized. The record is from RefSeq and is a predicted model, not a curated record. The transcript is spliced from 3 exons. Lineage: Eukaryota; Metazoa; Mollusca; Bivalvia; Mytilida; Mytilidae.
UUAAGGAAUGGGGACACACUGGAUGUCAACACGAUAAAGAUGUAGGAAUUUCAUGUGCAACCCAAAUAAGAUUAACAAAUGGCAAGUCUCCAUCUGAGGGCAGAGUAGAGGUUUAUCACAACGGUACAUGGGGAUCUAUCUGUGAUGACAUGUUUGAUAUCAGUGAUGCACAGGUUGUGUGUAGAACACUUGGAUUAUCGACAUCUUAUCCAACAGUGUACAAAAAGAGUCCGUUUGGAUCAAGUAAUAUACCUAUACUAAUGGAUGACCUUGAGUGUAGAGGUGAUGAAACAGAUAUAGCUGCCUGUCAUUUUAGAGGCUGGGGAAUAUCUAACUGUGAUUACACAGAAGCUGUGGCUUU